Molecule: long non-coding RNA, 2199 nt
Filed under: Sus scrofa (pig)
Lineage: Eukaryota; Metazoa; Chordata; Mammalia; Artiodactyla; Suidae
Description: lncRNA (ENSSSCG00050020564.1)
Source: RNAcentral
AAGUUUUAUUUAAGUGUAGUUGAUUUAUAAGGUUGUGAUAAUUUCUGCUGUACAACAAAGUGAAUCAGUUAUAUAAAUAUACACAUCCAUCCUCUUUCAGAUUCUUUUUCCAUAGAUUAUCACAGACUGUUGGGUAGAGUUCUCUGUGCUAUAUAGCAGGUCUUGGUUGGCUAAUCAUUCCAUAUACAUCAGUGUGCAUAGGCUAAUGCCAAACCUAUAGACCAUCUGUUCCCCCACCGAUCUGUCCCUUUGGUAACCAUAAGUUUGUUUUCAAAGUCUGUGAGUCUGUUUCUGUUCUGAAAAAUUUGCAUACUUUUUCAUAUUCCACAUAUAAGUGAUAACAUAUGAUGUCCAUCUUUCACUUCUGACUUACUUUACUUAGUAUGAUAAUCUCUAGGUCUACCCAUAUUGCUGCAAAUGGCAUGAUUUCAUUUUUUUAUGGCUGAGGAAUAUUCCCUUGUAUACAUGUGCCACAUCUUCUUUCAUCUUCCAUUGGUCUUUUUUUCAUAUAGCAGCCAGAGUGAUUCUUUUAAAAUAUAGGAUCUCUCCCCAAAACCUUUCCAUGGAUUUUCAUAAAAUUCAGAAUAAAAGCCACAGUCCAUACCAUGGUCCACUUGACUCUGCAGGAUCUUGCCAUUGGCAGCCUUCAGAUCCCAGCACUAGCUGCUCACCUCCUCCUGGCUGUGUUCCAGCCAUGCUGCUGCUAUAAUUGCCCAAGCACAUCCUCACCCUAGAGUCUGCAUGCUGUUCCUCUGCCCAUCCUCCUCUUUCCAACAACUGCAGUGGGUGAUCUCUCACUUCAUCUCUGUCUGAUCCGAGGUCUUCCCUGAAAAGCCUGUCUGACACUGGCCCACCAUGCAUCAUUCACCUUGAUUGGCUAUAUUCUCCACUGAGCAUAAAUUAAAUGAGGGCAAUUUCUUUGCUUUUGAUCCUUAUUUCAUGUCCAAUGUCCAGAGAGGAUUUGGCACAUGGUAGGCUAUCAAUAAAUAUUGUUGAAUGAAUGAAUGAAUGAAUGAAUGUCUUUAUUACCACUAUUCUGGUUUAAGCCACUGUGGCCUCUCGCCUAACAAUUCAAUAAUCUCCUAGUGGGUCUUCCAGCUUCCAUGUUUGCCUCUUCCAGUCUGACCUCCAUAGAGAAGACAGCAUUCUGUUUUAUAUAUGUUAAUCAGGUCAAGUUAUUCUCCUGCAUGAAACUUCCCAGUGGUAAUUUGUCAAACAAUGCAAUCCAAAUAUAGCAUAAUACAUAUACUAAAUUAUACACUACAUCCAAACUCUUUCUAUAUAGUAUAGGGAGGUGGAUUUGAGCUCUCUCCUGCCUAUCUCUCAGCAGCUGACUCCACACAUCCACCUUCACCAGUACACUCCAGCCAUAGCGACCCGCAAGCACCUCUAGCCCACUUCCAUCUUAGGGGCUUUUUUUAUACUGUUAGGUCCUUUUUUUGGGGAAUACUUACACCCCAAUCUUCACAAGGCUGGCUUGUUUUUGGUCCUUGGAACUUCAGCUUAAAUAUCACCUUAGCAGAAGGGACUUCCCUGUCUUCCUAGUACAAUGUAGACACCAGUCAUCACUGUCUCCGUAGCCCUAAUCUUGACCUAAUAUUUUUCUUAUUCAUUGGUGAUGGUCUGCCUCGCUCCCUCCCAUCUCACCUAGAAUAUAAGCUCCCAGACAUGAGGGAUUGUGCUGUCCUUGUUCUGCAUGGUGUCCCUAACAUCUAGGAUGGUAGUUGGCACAUACUAGGUGCUUAAUAUUUAUUUCUUGCAUCCAAUAGUUAAUAUUUUAUACUAUCUGAUACUAAACACCAUUUCUAGUGAGAGGAAGAUAUCCUGGUAAAGUUGCAUAUAGUUUGUUUCGUCCUUCCAAAUGAGUACAAUUUUCAAUUGGGACAAAUUUUCCAAUUAACCUAAAACGAUGUUCCCUCACAAGUCACACAUCCACCACAUCUGCUGAGUCUUCUGAGUAGGACCUUUCUAGUGACUUGGGUUAUACAGAUUUUAUUUUCCUCUACUAAGUGGCUAUUAUCCACACAAUGAUCAAAAGACCUUACAGAUGGACAGUAACUUAGGGUUUAUAGAAUCAGUUAUAAAAGCGAGCCUUUGAUCUGCCCCCAAACCCUGCAUUCAUUAGCGUUGUGUGUUAAGAUGGAGAGCAAGUGCAAAGAGGUAAAUGACUUUCCCAAGAACACAGGGCAAGGAAAUGGU